This 601-nucleotide long non-coding RNA is filed under the name Mytilus galloprovincialis (Mediterranean mussel). Lineage: Eukaryota; Metazoa; Mollusca; Bivalvia; Mytilida; Mytilidae. The record is from RNAcentral.
AAAACAAAGUGUAUAGUAAUUAGAUAUAGGAAGAUGUGGUAUGAGUGUCAAUGAGACAACUCUCCAUCCAAGUCACAAUUCAUUAAAUUAAACCAUUAUAGGUCUAGGUACGAUCUUCAAAACGGAGCCUUGGUUCGCACCAAAAGGAAGUUAGAUGUUAGUACACUUUAUACUUGUUAAGUAAGAGUAUAAAUGUAUUUCGUAACUGGGGGAAAAGAAAUACCUGAUGUUUUAAUUGAAAGCUUUUAACAGUAAACCCUUACAAAUAUUCCAUUCAUGUCAUUUCGGACCAAAUGACCGACUUGUCUUCUUGAAAGUAAAAUAAGAAUUUCAUGAAUAAAAUAUAAGAGCUCGACAAUAAUCUCAUCAUAGAUAUCAUGUGACUUAUAAAGUAGAAAGUUGUCGGGUUUCAACAUCAGAUGCUGUUUCUAUGUAUUUCUUUUGAUAAAAAAAUACUUUUACUUGCACUCUAUAUAUGAGUUAUUGUAAACUUCUCUACUUUGAAAAUUCGUCCCCCUUAAAAAAAAGAAAACAAAACUAAAAACCCACACCUAAAAAUCAAACAAAAAAUCAUCAUAACCAACAGCAGCAACAAAUAAAC